Molecule: ribosomal RNA, 456 nt
Filed under: uncultured bacterium
Lineage: Bacteria
Description: bacterial SSU rRNA
Rfam family: Bacterial small subunit ribosomal RNA
Source: RNAcentral
UACGGAAGGCAGCAGUGGGGAAUAUUGCACAAUGGGCGCAAGCCUGAUGCAGCCAUGCCGCGUGUAUGAAAAAGGCCUUCGGGUUGUAAAGUACUUUCAGUCGUGAGGAAGGUGUUAAGGUUAAUAACCUUAGCAAUUGACGUUAGCGACAGAAGAAGCACCGGCUAACUCCGUGCCAGCAGCCGCGGUAAUACGGAGGGUGCGAGCGUUAAUCGGAAUUACUGGGCGUAAAGGGCACGCAGGCGGUUAAUUAAGUUGGAUGUGAAAUCCCCGGGCUUAACCUGGGAAUGGCAUUCAAGACUGGUUAGCUAGAGUCUUGUAGAGGGGGUAGAAUUCCAUGUGUAGCGGUGAAAUGCGUAGAGAUGUGGAGGAAAUACCGGUGGCGAAGGCGGCCCCUGGGACAAAGACUGACGCUCAUGUGCGAAAAGCGUGGGGAGCAAACAGGGAUUAGAUACC